RNAcentral lists this long non-coding RNA (279 nucleotides) under Brassica napus (rape). RNAcentral describes it as "long non-coding RNA (BNAP_LNC013053)". Lineage: Eukaryota; Viridiplantae; Streptophyta; Magnoliopsida; Brassicales; Brassicaceae. The record is from RNAcentral.
AUAAAAGAACCUAAUUUUGAGGCUUCUAAACCUAUCCACCUCAACCAAAAUAUUUAGGGCAAACUAAACUGACAACUCAGCAUGAAGUUUAAGAAAAUCAGUAAACCGUAAAAGUAAAUUUGUAAAUCGACCAUUCUCCUCCCUAUCGAUUCAGUUUUUCCUGAUUAAGAUCAUACAUACCUUCUCAACUUCUUCUCAUUUUCUGCCGGUUGUUUUUCACCAUUUCAUAUCAAUCUCUUCCAAAUCCUCUUCAAUCUCUUAUUUUGGCUUCCCCCCCUC